This is a long non-coding RNA of Cyprinus carpio carpio, 1048 nucleotides long. Lineage: Eukaryota; Metazoa; Chordata; Actinopteri; Cypriniformes; Cyprinidae. The record is from Ensembl.
UCCACUUUUCCAUCCUUAUUUUUCCCUCCACAGUCGUACUGAGCUCUUAUGCUCAACCUGCGCAUCAUCCGCACAGACUGUGGAAUCAGAGUUUAUUAAUAAUACAAAUGGCUUUCUUAAUGUACUGCUGCAUUUGAGUAGAGGGAAGAAAACAUUUCCUAUUUCUCCAGUGCUGUAUGUAUAUUCACCGGUGGACGUUGUUAGACGACUAGACGAUGCCUUGACUUUCAGUCUUUCAGGAUUUGAAGCAGCGUGAUGGUGAGAUGACAGAAUUUCAAUUUUUGAGGAAACCAUUCCUUUAACAUCUGAAUCUGUCAAAAAAAAAAAAAAGCAAGGUGGGUGAGAGUUAAAGAGACAGAGCAGGAAAGAGAUGAAAGUCUUAUCUCUCUGAACAGAGCCAGAUAGGCUAUCAUUUAUCUGUUUACAGACAGAUGCUCUGAUACAGUGAAAUGACUGCAAAACAUGUGAGUGACAGAGUGAAGGAGAGUGUGAAAGAGAGCGAGAGAGGUGAAAGGAGAGCUGGAGUGACCUUGCUUCAAAUCUCGGUUGGAUGUUUGACAUUGGGGCAUGUUGCAGGGCGCACCAGUGUUGAUCUCUGAUAGCAUGAGCACUCACGAUUUGCUCAUGGCGACAGGAUGAAAAAACCUUUCAUAGUUAUUUUAUGUCUGUUCAGUGAUGCUUUGUUUUUGUUUUUUUGGUGGUGUAAGUUAUGACAAUGUACAGAAACACUGUAUUUUGUUCCAUGAUAGGCUCAUAUUUCAGUCUAAGAGAUGUGCUGUGAUAUUGGCUUCUUGAUGCAGGACUCUCACUCGCUGAUUUGUUUCUCUCAUCAGUCCCGUGGGUAAUUUAGCUAGUGAAAUCACACCUUUCUGUCUCUUCGCUCUUCUUCGAUUUCCUGUCCCGAAGGUGGCCAAUCACACAGCGGUGUCCUUGGGGCCCAGCCUUGGGUAGGGGGACGGAUGAGGGGGGCCACGUUCCCCCCAUCCCACCUCACCCUCUUAUAUUUAUUGUGCCGAAGACAAGCCUUCUCACUCUCUCUCUCUCUCUC